Molecule: long non-coding RNA, 245 nt
Filed under: Mustela putorius furo (domestic ferret)
Lineage: Eukaryota; Metazoa; Chordata; Mammalia; Carnivora; Mustelidae
Description: lncRNA (ENSMPUG00000030425.1)
Source: RNAcentral
CUCUACUGAAGUCGUGCGCACCGCUUGCUGGCCUUCUCUCUGUGACUUACCGUACACAGGUUCCUCACAGUCUGAACAUAUUUGAGGGAAGCCCAGGAACCUGUUAUUUAAGCAAGGAACCUUGACCAAGGCAAGGAGCUUGCCUUGACUACAAGACUUGACAAGGCCAAGGCCUUAUUUUCCCGGCUUCCUCUGCACUUUGGUUAGGAGCACAUGAUUGAGGCUCCAGCAAUCAAUGAAUCCAC